Molecule: non-coding RNA, 115 nt
Organism: Triticum aestivum (bread wheat)
Lineage: Eukaryota; Viridiplantae; Streptophyta; Magnoliopsida; Poales; Poaceae
Source: Rfam
UAUGUACUCCCUCUAUUCGGAAUUACUUGUCUUAGAAAUGGAUGUAUCUAGAACUAAAAAACAUCUAGAUACAUCCAUUUCUGCGACAAGUAAUUUCGAACGGAGGGAGUACCUC